RNAcentral lists this transfer RNA (82 nucleotides) under Cavernulicola chilensis. RNAcentral's name for it is "tRNA-Leu". It matches the Rfam family "tRNA". Rfam says of the family: Transfer RNA (tRNA) molecules are approximately 80 nucleotides in length. Lineage: Eukaryota; Rhodophyta; Bangiophyceae; Cavernulicolales; Cavernulicolaceae. The record is from RNAcentral.
GCUCGCUUGGUGAAAGUUGGUAAACACGAUGGAUUUAAAAUCCAUUCCCCUGGGGUUAUCGGUUCAAGCCCGAUAGCGAGUA